UUAUUAUUUAUUCUCUAAGGCUCGUUGGCAGAAAACCUGCUUUUUACAAUGGACUUUUCAGCUAAAACUUCAAGGAAACCAUUAAUAAGUCGCAUAUAUCAAUGACAUUACCUCUUUAGUGCGAUAAUCUACAAAUCCUAAUUGAAAACACUGAAGUAUAAAGCUACAAGACCAAGUAUCCUCUGGGUAGUCAAAUAAGAGCCGUUUGAAGUCGAGCUAAAGUGAUAAGGCGAAAGUCAAGGAUUGCAUCCACGGAGAGCCAACUAUAAAUCUAGUAGCAUAUUUGUUGAUUAAAUGUCU
Molecule: long non-coding RNA, 300 nt
Organism: Bactrocera latifrons
Lineage: Eukaryota; Metazoa; Arthropoda; Insecta; Diptera; Tephritidae
Exons: 3
Source: RefSeq, a predicted model, not a curated record